UACGAAGGGUGCAAGCGUUACUCGGAAUUACUGGGCGUAAAGCGUGCGUAGGUGGUGAGUUAAGUCUGAUGUGAAAUCCCCGGGCUCAACCUGGGAAUGGCAUUGGAUACUGGCUCGCUAGAGUGCGGUAGAGGGUGGUGGAAUUCCCGGUGUAGCAGUGAAAUGCGUAGAGAUCGGGAGGAACAUCUGUGGCGAAGGCGGCCACCUGGACCACUUCUGACGCUGAGACACGAAAGCGUGGGUAGCAAACAGG
This 253-nucleotide ribosomal RNA is filed under the name uncultured bacterium. RNAcentral's name for it is "partial 16S ribosomal RNA". It matches the Rfam family "Bacterial small subunit ribosomal RNA", at positions 524 to 776 of the family's 1533-position model. The record is from RNAcentral.